AGGGCUAUAGCCAAGCGGUAAGGCAACUGACUCUGAAUCAGUUAAUCGGGGGUUCAAAUCCCUCUAGCCCUGCCA
RNAcentral lists this transfer RNA (75 nucleotides) under Bacilli bacterium. Its description in RNAcentral is "tRNA-Gln". It matches the Rfam family "tRNA". Rfam says of the family: Transfer RNA (tRNA) molecules are approximately 80 nucleotides in length. Lineage: Bacteria; Bacillati; Bacillota; Bacilli. The record is from RNAcentral.